Molecule: ribosomal RNA, 808 nt
Filed under: uncultured bacterium
Lineage: Bacteria
Description: bacterial SSU rRNA
Rfam family: Bacterial small subunit ribosomal RNA
Source: RNAcentral
CAAGGCCACGAUGCGUAGCCGACCUGAGAGGGUGAUCGGCCACAUUGGAACUGAGACACGGUCCAGACUCCUACGGGAGGCAGCAGUGGGGAAUAUUGCACAAUGGAGGAAACUCUGAUGCAGCAACGCCGCGUGAAUGAUGAAGGCCUUCGGGUCGUAAAGUUCUUUGAUUGGGGACGAUAAUGACGGUACCCAAAAAACAAGCCACGGCUAACUACGUGCCAGCAGCCGCGGUAAUACGUAGGUGGCGAGCGUUGUCCGGAUUUACUGGGCGUAAAGGAUGCGUAGGUGGAAAUUUAAGUGGGAUGUGAAAUCCCCGGGCUCAACCCGGGAACUGCAUUCCAAACUGGAUUUCUUGAGUGCAGGAGAGGAAAGCGGAAUUCCUAGUGUAGCGGUGAAAUGCGUAGAUAUUAGGAGGAACACCAGUGGCGAAGGCGGCUUUCUGGACUGUAACUGACACUGAGGCAUGAAAGCGUGGGUAGCAAACAGGAUUAGAUACCCUGGUAGUCCACGCCGUAAACGAUGGGUACUAGGUGUAGGGGGUAUCAACUCCCCCUGUGCCGUCGUUAACACAAUAAGUACCCCGCCUGGGGAGUACGGUCGCAAGAUUAAAACUCAAAGGAAUUGACGGGGGCCCGCACAAGCAGCGGAGCAUGUGGUUUAAUUCGAGGCAACGCGAAGAACCUUACCUAGACUUGACAUCUCCUGAAUUACCCUUAAUCGGGGAAGCCCUUCGGGGCAGGAAGACAGGUGGUGCAUGGUUGUCGUCAGCUCGUGUCGUGAGAUGUUGGGGUUAAGUCCCGCAACG